This 253-nucleotide ribosomal RNA is filed under the name uncultured bacterium. Its description in RNAcentral is "partial 16S ribosomal RNA". It matches the Rfam family "Bacterial small subunit ribosomal RNA", at positions 524 to 776 of the family's 1533-position model. The record is from RNAcentral.
UACGUAGGGGGCUAGCGUUGUCCGGAAUCAUUGGGCGUAAAGCGCGUGUAGGCGGCCCGGUAAGUCCGCUGUGAAAGUCGGGGGCUCAACCCUCGAAAGCCGGUGGAUACUGUCGGGCUCGAGUACGGAAGAGGAGAGUGGAAUUCCUGGUGUAGCGGUGAAAUGCGCAGAUAUCAGGAAGAACACCAAUGGCGAAGGCAGCUCUCUGGGACGGUACUGACGCUGAGACGCGAAAGCGUGGGGAGCGAACAGG